UUCGCAAUGCCCGAAAGGGUGAACGAGCGACGCCGCGUGUGGGAUGAAGUCCUUCGGGAUGUAAACCACUGUCAGGGGAAAGAAAGUUCUGAUCUACCCCAGAGGAAGGCACGGCUAACUCUGUGCCAGCAGCCGCGGUAAGACAGAGGUGCCGAGCGUUAGGCGGAAUCACUGGGCUUAAAGCGUGUGUAGGCGGAUGCCUAAGUGCCUUGUGAAAGCCCCCGGCUCAACCGGGGAAGCGGAGCCGAAACGACCGAUCUGGAGGGACGUAAGGGGACCUGGAACUUCCGGUGGAGCGGUGAAAUGCGUUGAGAUCGGAAGGAACGCCCGUGGCGAAAGCGAGGUCCUGGACGUCUGCUGACGCUGAGACGCGAAAGCUAGGGGAGCAAACGGGAUUAGAUACCCCGGUAGUCCUAGCCGUAAACGAUGGGCACUAAGUAGAGGGGUUUU
This 450-nucleotide ribosomal RNA is filed under the name uncultured bacterium. RNAcentral's name for it is "bacterial SSU rRNA". It matches the Rfam family "Bacterial small subunit ribosomal RNA", at positions 364 to 832 of the family's 1533-position model. The record is from RNAcentral.